ACUCCAUGAUUCUUAUUUUAUGAUUCUAUGAUACUUGUUUUCCAAACUUAAAAGCUUCUUGUGCCAGAUAGAUAAAUUGCAAACUGGCUUCUAUGGGAGCUUUGUUUUGAGACUACUUGUGCAAGUAAAGCUAUGCAUUUGUUUGACUGCCUAGCUACGUUGUAUAUGAAUGAAAACAAAGGUAGAACAAACAUUGGGAGUGAUAAUACCAUGCCAAAAUACAGCUGGCAGUGGUAACAGGCAGGGCCUCAGGCCCUGCUGCUGCACAAAUGCUAUUCCAUGUCUUCAGUGUACCACUCAACAGAUCUGUGGACGACACUGAAUUAGGAAGGAUAUUUGGCACUUAGAGUGCCAAAUGUAGAGCUGUAGAGCAUAAAUUCAAAGCUGAAUGUAGCACCAAGAGAAAUCUCACAGAGUUCAAGGAGAAGCAAUUACGGAUAGUUAUGAACUAUCUUGUCUGUACUCAGCAUUGGUGAGACCACACCUGGAAAUAGUGUCUAUUUUUGGACCCUGCGGUUCAAGAGGGAUAUGAAGAAAUAGGUGGCCCAGAGAAAAACACCUAAGCUGGCCAGGGGCCUAAAGGAAAGGACCCACAAUGACAAUCCAGGUUAUUUAGCCUGGAGAAGGGGAGGCCAAGGGGCACUCCAAAGCUGCCUACAACCACUUGAAGGGGAGUAACAAAGGUGAUGGAGUCAUGGAGCCAAAUCCUCCCAGAGAAGAAGCCACAAAUUGUGGCUUGGGAGGUUCACACUGGAUAUUAGGAAAAAUGCUUUCAUGAGAAGAUAGGUGCAUCCCUGGAGAGGUCACCCAGGGAGAGUGUGGGCUCUCUGUCCUCAGGGAUUUGCAGGAGAUGGGUGAGGAAAGCCACAGGUGACCUGACCUAGUGGUGGUGACCAUCUUGCUGCAAGCAGAAGGCUCCGGUAGUCCCAUCAAUGGGACUUGGCUCAGGGUUCAAAUGUGGAACAACCAGAAAAAUGCAUCAUAUUACUUUUUUCCUUCUGUUAACAGGCACUCCUGCAGUAAUAUAAAAAUAGUUAACUGAAGCGAGGUAUCACAGAGACUGAUGUGAUAAAGCAUACUGAUAGAAAAUAAAGAAUGGAAUAUGGGAUGAACAUUGACCUAACAAAUAAAAACGGAAAAUAAAAAAGAAGGGAAAUAACGAAUGGUGCGAAGCAAAGAGGGAGCGCUGAGAGCCAGGAGUGGGAAACUGGUGACAGAUGAGGCUGAUAAGGCAGACAGCCUAAAGGAAUUCUUCGCCCCAGUAAUCACAGAGGCAGCAGAAGGUAAUGUCCCAGGAACUGGGAUUUGUUUUCCUCAGGGAAGGAAGUAAAAUGUCAAAAGGUUUUACUCUUGCACUGCAGUGGAUAAUAAGGCAAUUAGUACUCUUAAAAGUCGUCAGAGCACCCAGACUGCAAAGAUAAAUCACAUCCUGGGAUAGCAGCGGGAGUGGGAGACUGUCGGAAAGCUUUUGUGGAGCGGUUGUGGUCACUUACCAAGGGUGGGAUUACUGAGGGUGGAUGUGAAGUUUGCACUAAAAACCGAGGAGGAGCACUGGACUACAGCAUCUAUAGGUUUGUGAGCUCAGCUUCUCUUCCACAGGAGAAACCAAACACUGAUUUGAAAGCAAAAAGCGACUGAAGACUGGCAGAAAACCUCACACUGCAACUGGGCUUUCAGCGUACUAGGAAGAUGCUUGCUUCCUUUCCCCACCGCUCCCUGCAGCUUCUUUGUGGGAUGAGGCUGAAGGUAAUCCUAUGCAGACAGAUUUGACCCAAAGGUCAGGAAGGCUUCACCGGAUUUUCUGUUGGAAAUGGAUUGUACUCUUUGCUGAUGCCACACAUUUCACUAACCCCCCCAUGUGCUGCUGUUUCCCUUGCACAUUUUUCACAUAGAGCCUCUGUCUGAACCACCUGAAGACUUGAAGUGACACAUUAUGAGUACUAAAAGUACUGUACUGUUACAUAUCAACUGCCCCAUUUCAUAAUGGGCCACAAGAACUGAAGAGGAAAAUGAAAUUUUCCAGAGAAAAAAGGAAAUGAAAAGAGACACUAAUUCUUUUGCUGGUUACCAUUCCAGAAGAGAAAUUGUGCCACUAGUUGUGCCGGACUUAUGGGAAUUUGGUAUAAAGCAGCAGCAGCUAUGCUGGUUCAAUCAUUUCAGAAGGACAUAUUGGCACAUCAGUGUUCUAAAAUGCCUUGGAUGCCCUUUCUGAAGAUCCUCUCUAAUGAAAGCUGUGAAAACUGAAAGAAAAAAGUCCUAAUUAAAGAAACACAUUCAUGAGGAGCUCUAUGUGAAAUGGAGGAACACAACGCAGCAUGGCCACUGCUCUCUGGAAUGGGCCAUGGAAGUGACCUGGAGUGCAUCUUCCCUUAUGAA
Molecule: long non-coding RNA, 2376 nt
Organism: Numida meleagris (helmeted guineafowl)
Lineage: Eukaryota; Metazoa; Chordata; Aves; Galliformes; Numididae
Exons: 3
Source: RefSeq, a predicted model, not a curated record